CGCUUCCAGGUGACGUGUUUGGCCUGUCUGCAGAGUUGUGAGAAAUCUGAUUGAAAAAGACAAAAAAAGCCCAUCCUGGCAGGAGAUCUGUCUUUCAAAUCCAAGCAAAUCCAAAAUAUCUGCAAGAGAAAUCAGCUAACCAGUAAUG
Molecule: long non-coding RNA, 148 nt
Organism: Gymnogyps californianus (California condor)
Lineage: Eukaryota; Metazoa; Chordata; Aves; Accipitriformes; Cathartidae
Exons: 2
Source: RefSeq, a predicted model, not a curated record